RNAcentral lists this non-coding RNA (23 nucleotides) under Arabidopsis thaliana (thale cress). Lineage: Eukaryota; Viridiplantae; Streptophyta; Magnoliopsida; Brassicales; Brassicaceae. The record is from RNAcentral.
AACCUCGAUACAUUCAUUAGUAU